Molecule: long non-coding RNA, 314 nt
Filed under: Androctonus crassicauda
Lineage: Eukaryota; Metazoa; Arthropoda; Arachnida; Scorpiones; Buthidae
Source: RNAcentral
AAUAGAUCCAUUCUAAUAAAUUAUUUUUUUAAAUAAAUAUUUUUGAAAUUUAUAUUCAUAUGAAUGAUCAUACCAUCUUUAUGCUAGAUUUGAUACUAAUUUUCCCUAAAUUAUUACAUUUUACAUUUGUUUUGAUUGACAUUUUGCAUCAAAUCUUUUUAAAAAUGGCGGAUAAUGAGUUUCUUCUUAAUUUAUAUGUCCUAAAUCGGGUCUCCAACCCUAUGCCUGCAGGCACCAUAGCACUCGCCGAUCAUUUAAUGUGUGCCUGCCACUAUGCGACCAUGAUAAAAAUAUUUCAAUUUUCAAUAAAAUGC